RNAcentral lists this ribosomal RNA (482 nucleotides) under Alternaria sp. PQM06. Its description in RNAcentral is "eukaryotic LSU rRNA". It matches the Rfam family "Eukaryotic large subunit ribosomal RNA", at positions 78 to 564 of the family's 3401-position model. The record is from RNAcentral. Lineage: Eukaryota; Fungi; Ascomycota; Dothideomycetes; Pleosporales; Pleosporaceae.
CCCUAGUAACGGCGAGUGAAGCGGCAACAGCUCAAAUUUGAAAUCUGGCUCUUUUAGAGUCCGAGUUGUAAUUUGCAGAGGGCGCUUUGGCUUUGGCAGCGGUCCAAGUUCCUUGGAACAGGACGUCACAGAGGGUGAGAAUCCCGUACGUGGUCGCUGGCUAUUGCCGUGUAAAGCCCCUUCGACGAGUCGAGUUGUUUGGGAAUGCAGCUCUAAAUGGGAGGUACAUUUCUUCUAAAGCUAAAUAUUGGCCAGAGACCGAUAGCGCACAAGUAGAGUGAUCGAAAGAUGAAAAGCCCUUUGGAAAGAGAGUCAAACAGCACGGGAAAUUGUUGAAAGGGAAGCGCUUGCAGCCAGACUUGCUUACAGUUGCUCAUCCGGGUUUCUACCCGGUGCCCUUUUUUGUAGGCAGGCCAGCAUCAGUUUGGGCGGUAGGAUAAAGGUUUUUGUCACGUACCUCCUUUCGGGGAGGCCUUAUAGGG